AAGUCGUAACAAGGUUUCCGUAGGUGAACCUGCGGAAGGAUCAUUAACACUUUUUCAUUUUAUUGAAAAUUCAUUUUUCAAUAAUUUACUUACCCACAUUUUUGGAUGAAUUAUUUCUUUUUUAUUCUUUAUAUCAUUUUUAUACCCCAAACAAAAACUAAAUACUAUAUUAUUUUCUAACAUUUAUACAAAAAAGUUUAAGAAAAACAUAAAAAAACAACUCUUAACAACGGAUAUCUAGGCUCUC
This 247-nucleotide unclassified non-coding RNA is filed under the name fungal sp. RNAcentral describes it as "partial internal transcribed spacer region". The stretch from base 1 to 46 matches the Rfam family "Eukaryotic small subunit ribosomal RNA", at positions 1786 to 1831 of the family's 1831-position model. Lineage: Eukaryota; Fungi. The record is from RNAcentral.